AAGUCGUAACAAGGUUUCCGGUGAACCUGCGGAAGGGUCAUUGGAGAAUUGUACCUGUACCAAAAGCAUGGACAAUCCAUCCUUAUCCCACCUUGUGUGCACGCAUUGAAACCAUGCUUUGGGAGGUUUCUCCUUUGUUGGAAUUGGAGAUCCUCAAGCCUCCCAAGGUUGUUCUCCUCGUAACACCUUUUCCUGAAAAAUCAAACAUAAUAAAAAAAAAAAAAAUACAGCAUUCAACAACGGAUCUCUUGGCUCUC
This 257-nucleotide unclassified non-coding RNA is filed under the name Basidiomycota sp. Its description in RNAcentral is "partial contains small subunit ribosomal RNA, internal transcribed spacer 1, and 5.8S ribosomal RNA". Lineage: Eukaryota; Fungi; Basidiomycota. The record is from RNAcentral.